RNAcentral lists this ribosomal RNA (497 nucleotides) under uncultured bacterium. RNAcentral's name for it is "partial 16S ribosomal RNA". It matches the Rfam family "Bacterial small subunit ribosomal RNA", at positions 28 to 507 of the family's 1533-position model. The record is from RNAcentral.
GAUGAACGCUGGCGGCGUGCCUAAUACAUGCAAGUCGAGCGAACAGAUGAGGAGCUUGCUCCUCUGACGUUAGCGGCGGACGGGUGAGUAACACGUGGAUAACCUACCUAUAAGACUGGGAUAACUUCGGGAAACCGGAGCUAAUACCGGAUAAUAUAUUGAACCGCAUGGUUCAAUAGUGAAAGACGGUUUUGCUGUCACUUAUAGAUGGAUCCGCGCCGCAUUAGCUAGUUGGUAAGGUAACGGCUUACCAAGGCAACGAUGCGUAGCCGACCUGAGAGGGUGAACGGCCACACUGGAACUGAGACACGGUCCAGACUCCUACGGGAGGCAGCAGUAGGGAAUCUUCCGCACUGGGCGAAAGCCUGACGGAGCAACGCCGCGUGAGUGAUGAAGGUCUUCGGAUCGUAAAACUCUGUUAUUAGGGAAGAACAAAUGUGUAAGUAACUAUGCACGUCUUGACGGUACCUAAUCAGAAAGCCACGGCUAACUACGUG